This 237-nucleotide ribosomal RNA is filed under the name uncultured bacterium. Its description in RNAcentral is "partial 16S ribosomal RNA". It matches the Rfam family "Bacterial small subunit ribosomal RNA", at positions 96 to 334 of the family's 1533-position model. The record is from RNAcentral.
CGGCGAACGGGUGAGUAACACGUGGGCAACCUGCCCCAGGCUCUGGAAUAACCCCCGGAAACGGGGGCUAAUGCCGGAUACUCUCGGAACCUCGCAUGAGGAUCCGAGGAAAGGAUCCCGGCCUGGGAUGGGCCCGCGGCCUAUCAGCUUGUUGGUGGGGUAACGGCCUACCAAGGCGACGACGGGUAGCUGGCGUGAGAGCGUGGCCAGCCACACUGGGACUGAGACACGGCCCAG